Molecule: ribosomal RNA, 1556 nt
Filed under: Enterobacter hormaechei
Lineage: Bacteria; Pseudomonadati; Pseudomonadota; Gammaproteobacteria; Enterobacterales; Enterobacteriaceae
Description: bacterial SSU rRNA
Rfam family: Bacterial small subunit ribosomal RNA
Source: RNAcentral
ACUUAAAUUGAAGAGUUUGAUCAUGGCUCAGAUUGAACGCUGGCGGCAGGCCUAACACAUGCAAGUCGAACGGUAACAGGAAGCAGCUUGCUGCUUUGCUGACGAGUGGCGGACGGGUGAGUAAUGUCUGGGAAACUGCCUGAUGGAGGGGGAUAACUACUGGAAACGGUAGCUAAUACCGCAUAACGUCGCAAGACCAAAGAGGGGGACCUUCGGGCCUCUUGCCAUCGGAUGUGCCCAGAUGGGAUUAGCUAGUAGGUGGGGUAACGGCUCACCUAGGCGACGAUCCCUAGCUGGUCUGAGAGGAUGACCAGCCACACUGGAACUGAGACACGGUCCAGACUCCUACGGGAGGCAGCAGUGGGGAAUAUUGCACAAUGGGCGCAAGCCUGAUGCAGCCAUGCCGCGUGUAUGAAGAAGGCCUUCGGGUUGUAAAGUACUUUCAGCGGGGAGGAAGGCGAUAAGGUUAAUAACCUUGUCGAUUGACGUUACCCGCAGAAGAAGCACCGGCUAACUCCGUGCCAGCAGCCGCGGUAAUACGGAGGGUGCAAGCGUUAAUCGGAAUUACUGGGCGUAAAGCGCACGCAGGCGGUCUGUCAAGUCGGAUGUGAAAUCCCCGGGCUCAACCUGGGAACUGCAUUCGAAACUGGCAGGCUAGAGUCUUGUAGAGGGGGGUAGAAUUCCAGGUGUAGCGGUGAAAUGCGUAGAGAUCUGGAGGAAUACCGGUGGCGAAGGCGGCCCCCUGGACAAAGACUGACGCUCAGGUGCGAAAGCGUGGGGAGCAAACAGGAUUAGAUACCCUGGUAGUCCACGCCGUAAACGAUGUCGACUUGGAGGUUGUGCCCUUGAGGCGUGGCUUCCGGAGCUAACGCGUUAAGUCGACCGCCUGGGGAGUACGGCCGCAAGGUUAAAACUCAAAUGAAUUGACGGGGGCCCGCACAAGCGGUGGAGCAUGUGGUUUAAUUCGAUGCAACGCGAAGAACCUUACCUACUCUUGACAUCCAGAGAACUUUCCAGAGAUGGAUUGGUGCCUUCGGGAACUCUGAGACAGGUGCUGCAUGGCUGUCGUCAGCUCGUGUUGUGAAAUGUUGGGUUAAGUCCCGCAACGAGCGCAACCCUUAUCCUUUGUUGCCAGCGGUUAGGCCGGGAACUCAAAGGAGACUGCCAGUGAUAAACUGGAGGAAGGUGGGGAUGACGUCAAGUCAUCAUGGCCCUUACGAGUAGGGCUACACACGUGCUACAAUGGCGCAUACAAAGAGAAGCGACCUCGCGAGAGCAAGCGGACCUCAUAAAGUGCGUCGUAGUCCGGAUUGGAGUCUGCAACUCGACUCCAUGAAGUCGGAAUCGCUAGUAAUCGUGGAUCAGAAUGCCACGGUGAAUACGUUCCCGGGCCUUGUACACACCGCCCGUCACACCAUGGGAGUGGGUUGCAAAAGAAGUAGGUAGCUUAACCUUCGGGAGGGCGCUUACCACUUUGUGAUUCAUGACUGGGGUGAAGUCGUAACAAGGUAACCGUAGGGGAACCUGCGGUUGGAUCACCUCCUUACCUUAAAGAA